RNAcentral lists this ribosomal RNA (232 nucleotides) under uncultured bacterium. Its description in RNAcentral is "partial 16S ribosomal RNA". It matches the Rfam family "Bacterial small subunit ribosomal RNA", at positions 104 to 334 of the family's 1533-position model. The record is from RNAcentral.
CGGGGUGAGUAACGCGUGGGUAACCUGCCUCAUACAGGGGGAUAACAGUUGGAAACGACUGCUAAUACCGCAUAGGCGCACAGGAUUGCAUGAUCCAGUGUGAAAAACUCCGGUGGUAUGAGAUGGACCCGCGUCUGAUUAGCCAGUUGGCGGGGUAACAGCCCACCAAAGCGACGAUCAGUAGCCGACCUGAGAGGGUGACCGGCCACAUUGGGACUGAGACACGGCCCAA